This 393-nucleotide ribosomal RNA is filed under the name Eucampia sp. RNAcentral's name for it is "partial small subunit ribosomal RNA". It matches the Rfam family "Eukaryotic small subunit ribosomal RNA", at positions 582 to 975 of the family's 1831-position model. The record is from RNAcentral. Lineage: Eukaryota; Bacillariophyta; Thalassiosirophyceae; Eucampiales; Eucampiaceae.
AUUCCAGCUCCAAUAGCGUAUAUUAAAGUUGUUGCAGUUAAAAAGCUCGUAGUUGAAUUUCUGGUGGGAGUGUACAGUCCGACACUGAGUGUUGGUUCUUGUGUGUCUCCGGCCAUCCUUGGAGUGAAUCUGUCUGGCAUUUAGUUGUUGGGCAGAGUAUCUCCAUCGUUUACUGUGAGGAAAGGAAAGUGUUCAAAGCAGGCUUACGCCGUUGAAUCUUUUAGCAUGGAAUAAUAGAAUAGGAUGUCGAUCCUAUUUUGUUGGUUUUCGGGACUCGACAUAAUGAUAAAUAGGGACAGUCGGGGGCAUUUGUAUUCAAACGACAGAGGUGAAAUUCUUGGACCGUUUGAAGGCAAACUACUGCGAAAGCAUUUGCCAAGAAUGUUUUCAUCG